Molecule: unclassified non-coding RNA, 389 nt
Filed under: Hevea brasiliensis (rubber tree)
Lineage: Eukaryota; Viridiplantae; Streptophyta; Magnoliopsida; Malpighiales; Euphorbiaceae
Source: RNAcentral
GUUCAGAUCACUGGUAUGGCCCUACUAAUGUUUUGGAAAGACUACAAGAAUCACUAAAUUGUCCAUAAUAUUAUAUUUUAGUUAUCUAGUUGUUCACUUUGCAUGUUGUAUUGUUACAUUUAGUCUGGAUUUUACCUUUCUAUGCUAGCUAAUGAAUCAAUCAGAAUGUGUAUGUGAUGCUUAAUUCUCGCCACUCUACAUAUAUGAGCAAAUGGUUCAGCCAGGAAUGUGUUUGUUUAGGAUUUAAAAUAUAGUGCAUAUAUUGGCGGGGAUGGAUGUGGUGUGUGCGUCAGGUGUAGCAAUCUGUGGUGUUUUCUUCUUUAUAUUUUUCUUUUCGCCCUAUUUAGCACUGUAAUAUUUUGGCAGGACCCUCUGGCAAGAUAAUGCUU